GCCCUGGUAGUGAAACGGAUCAUCAUUCCGCGCUUCGAACGCGGCGUUCCAGGUUCGAAUCCUGGCCGGGGUACUA
This 76-nucleotide transfer RNA is filed under the name Fimbriiglobus ruber. RNAcentral's name for it is "tRNA-Arg". It matches the Rfam family "tRNA". Rfam says of the family: Transfer RNA (tRNA) molecules are approximately 80 nucleotides in length. Their secondary structure includes four short double-helical elements and three loops (D, anti-codon, and T loops). Further hydrogen bonds mediate the characteristic L-shaped molecular structure. tRNAs have two regions of fundamental functional importance: the anti-codon, which is responsible for specific mRNA codon recognition, and the 3' end, to which the tRNAs corresponding amino acid is attached (by aminoacyl-tRNA synthetases). tRNAs cope with the degeneracy of the genetic code in two manners: having more than one tRNA (with a specific anti-codon) for a particular amino acid; and 'wobble' base-pairing, i.e. permitting non-standard base-pairing at the 3rd anti-codon position. Lineage: Bacteria; Pseudomonadati; Planctomycetota; Planctomycetia; Gemmatales; Gemmataceae. The record is from RNAcentral.